CGGUGAAAUGCGUAGAGAUAAGAAGGAACACCAGUGGCGAAGGCGACUUUCUGGUCUGUAACUGACACUGAGGCGCGAAAGCGUGGGGAGCAAACAGGAUUAGAUACCCUGGUAGUCCACGCCGUAAACGAUGAGUGCUAAGUGUUAGAGGGUUUCCGCCCUUUAGUGCUGAAGUUAACGCAUUAAGCACUCCGCCUGGGGAGUACGGCCGCAAGGCUGAAACUCAAAGGAAUUGACGGGGGCCCGCACAAGCGGUGGAGCAUGUGGUUUAAUUUGAAGCAACGCGAAGAACCUUACCAGGUCUUGACAUCCUUUGAAAACCCUAGAGAUAGGGCCUCUCCUUCGGGAGCAGAGUGACAGGUGGUGCAUGGUUGUCGUCAGCUCGUGUCGUGAGAUGUUGGGUUAAGUCCCGCAACGAGCGCAACCCUUGAUUUUAGUUGCCAGCACUAAGUUGGGCACUUUAAGGUGACUGCCGGUGACAAACCGGAGGAAGGUGGGGAUGACGUCAAAUCAUCAUGGCCCUUAUGACCUGGGCUACACACGUGCUACAAUGGACGGUACAAAGAGCUGCCAGACCGCGAGGUGGAGCUAAUCUCAUAUAACCGUUCUCAGUUCGGAUUGGAGUCUGCAACUCGCCUACAUGAAGCUGGAAUCGCUAGUAAUCGCGGAUCGGCAUGCCGCGGUGAAUACGUUCCCGGGCCUUGUACACACCGCCCGUCAGACCACGAGAGUUUGUAACACCCGAAGUCGGUGGGGUAACCUUUUUGGAGCCAGCCGCCUAAGGUGGGACAGAUGAUUGGGGUGAAGUCGUAACAAGGUAGCCGUA
RNAcentral lists this ribosomal RNA (826 nucleotides) under Bacillus subtilis. Its description in RNAcentral is "bacterial SSU rRNA". It matches the Rfam family "Bacterial small subunit ribosomal RNA", at positions 679 to 1504 of the family's 1533-position model. Lineage: Bacteria; Bacillati; Bacillota; Bacilli; Caryophanales; Bacillaceae. The record is from RNAcentral.